CAAGCUCUCCAUUGUGGCCAUUUUUCAAACGGGAUCUAAUAAAAAUGAAGAAAAUGUUUAUGUUGAGAGUACAAAAGCAAAUGUGAGAUGAGACGAAAGCCGAUUUAGAUCAAAGAAGGGAAGACAAGGAUCAAGAAAUUAAUGGGUGCUUGGAUCAGAAGAGAGAGGGAGAUUGGUUUGGAUGUGGACGUAGAAUCUGAAACACAGAGAGAGUAAACGGCAAAAACGGUUUGGAGGAGAGUUGGCAUUGAUGCAAUAGCGACACGAGACAGGGAGGUUUUGAUUUGAAUAUGUGUUAAAGUUUUG
This 306-nucleotide unclassified non-coding RNA is filed under the name Hevea brasiliensis (rubber tree). Lineage: Eukaryota; Viridiplantae; Streptophyta; Magnoliopsida; Malpighiales; Euphorbiaceae. The record is from RNAcentral.